GAGGGGAGCCAUCCAAUAAAAUGUAGUGUGAUGCCAUUUCUCAGACCUUCUCUUUUUGAAUUCUUAGGUUACCUGGGUAGAGGAAAACCUGAGAUUGACUCGUGAUAGUAUAAAACAGUUUCGGAUAUCUUGGGUCGGUGAUUCAGGGGGCAGAGAGAUUGACGGGGAUGUAACUCAUUGUAUAGGAGCGGGGUGGUCGAAGUGGAGGCGUGCAUCAGGAGUCCUGUGUGACAAAAGAGUGCCACAGAAACUCAAGGGAAAAUUUUAUAAAGCUGUGGUUAGAUCUGCCAUGUUGUAUGGGGCGGAGUGCUGGCCGGUGAAGAACUCUCAUGUUCAUUAGGUUGCGAAGAUGAGGAUGCCCAGGUGGAUGUGCGGGCUCACCAGGAUACAUCAUUGAUCUCACAGUCGUUCUAUAGUGCCACAGAAACUCAAGGGGAAAUUUUAUAGAGCUGUGGUUAGACCUGCCAAUGUUGUAUGGGGCGGAGUGCUGGCCGGUGAAGAACUCUCAUGUUCAGAGAAUGAAGGUGGCGUAGAUGAGGAUGCUCAGGUGGAUGUGCGGGCUCACCAGGUUAGAUAAGAUUAAGAAUGAAGUUAUUCGAGAGAAGGUGGGGGUGGCCCCGGUGGAUGAGAAGAUGCGUGAAGCGAGGCUCAGGUGAUUCGGGCAUGUGGGGAGGAGAAGUCAUGAUGCCCCAGUGAGGAGUUGUGAGCGACUGGCCGUGGCCGGCGUGAGACGAGGCAGAGGGAGGCCUAAGAGGUAUUGGGGAGAGGUGAUUAGGCAUGACAUGGCUAGAAUGCGAAUUUCCGAGGACAUGGCCCUUGAUAGAAAAGUCUGGAGGUCUAGUAUCAGGGUUGU
RNAcentral lists this long non-coding RNA (853 nucleotides) under Nicotiana benthamiana. RNAcentral's name for it is "long non-coding RNA (NBEN_LNC003155)". The record is from RNAcentral. Lineage: Eukaryota; Viridiplantae; Streptophyta; Magnoliopsida; Solanales; Solanaceae.